Molecule: ribosomal RNA, 346 nt
Filed under: uncultured bacterium
Lineage: Bacteria
Description: bacterial SSU rRNA
Rfam family: Bacterial small subunit ribosomal RNA
Source: RNAcentral
GGACCCGCACAAGCAGUGGAGCAUGUGGUUUAAUUCGAAGAUACGCGCAGAACCUUACCAACACUUGACAUGUUCGUCGCGAGACUAAGAGAUUAGUCUUUUCAGUUUGGCUGGACGAAACACAGGUGCUGCAUGGCUGUCGUCAGCUCGUGUCGUGAGAUGUUGGGUUAAGUCCCGCAACGAGCGCAACCCUCAUCUUUAGUUGCCAGCAUUUAGUUGGGCACUCUAAAGAAACUGCCCGUGAUAAGCGGGAGGAAGGUGUGGAUGACGUCAAGUCCUCAUGGCCCUUACGGGUUGGGCUACACACGUGCUACAAUGGUAGUGACAAUGGCUAAUCCCAAAAAAC